Long non-coding RNA from Anthonomus grandis grandis, 3059 nucleotides. RefSeq lists it as uncharacterized. The record is from RefSeq and is a predicted model, not a curated record. Lineage: Eukaryota; Metazoa; Arthropoda; Insecta; Coleoptera; Curculionidae. The transcript has 2 exons.
GGGGUGACUGAAACAAAGAAAAAAUAUUAUCGAAAUAAUUUCCGGUAACACCUUGUGAGAUAGCUAUAUGAUAAAGUUUUCUAUUUAUAAGUUAACAAUGGGAAAAACAAGUGCAUCAAUUAAAUGACAUUUUAUCUAAUCAAUUUUAUUUUGUUUAUGCGGCUUUUUUUAAUGUAAUAAAAUCUAGAGCGAUUAAGAUAAUGGUGUUGAGUGUAAUGGUUUGUCUGUGAUUUUUUCAGUUUUUCAGUGCCAUCGAGACGAGUGGGAACGUUAUUGUUUUAGCGUUUACUGUGUCUAAGUAACAACAUAAGAGGAUGUCUAGUAUAAUUUUUAUUUAUAGGUUGUUUUGCUUUUACAAAAUUAUCUGGAGUUCUAUAGACAAAGCAGAAAAGGUACCUACAGAAAUGGAGCAUGCAGAACAAACAUUUAAGAAAAGAAAAUUAGAAGAACCUAAACAAAACCUAUAUGAAUGCAAUAGACAAGCUAAGUUAAAUGAUGCACUGGUUUGUGAAUAUCGGUAGAAAUUCUGAAUCUGAGACUUAAUAAAAAGUUGCAUAUUGCAAAAGCGAAAUUAAGAUCUCUUUACAAUCAGAAAUAAUUGAUAAAGACCAAGAGAUAAACGACUUACCGAAGUGGAAAAGAAAGCGGAGGUAUCCACCGAUCUCAAAGAGUUAGAGAAUUGGUUACUGAAAUUGAACUACUAACCCAAAAAUGUGCUGACCUUGCAAAGUGCUUAAGAACACCAAGAAUCUUAAGAAGUUAUUUUACAGGAUAUAAAGAGGACAAUGAAGUAAGAAAUACAUAAUUAGAAAAAAUUGUUGCAUUAAUGAUAAAGCUUACUGAAUAUCUAAUACUUGCUAAUAGAGAUUUGGAGUUUUACAGACAUAACCCUUUGCAGGAUGAUAGUAAAGGGAAUUCCUUAUUUGCCGAAGUUGAUGACAGAUGCGUACAUGUACAGCAAAAAUUCAAUAACAUAUAAUCAAGCUAUAAUAACUUAAAAUAAAUAAAGACAUAAAAAAUGACUUUGGUCUUGUUCCAGGUGGAGAAAAGGGAACAAAUGCUGAUUGACAAAUAAUAGAAAAGGCAUAUGAAUUUGUCGAUUACAGUAAGGCAUUCGGCCUGUGUAAAAUGGAAGAAUUUGUGGCUUAUAACAUGGGAGUGAGAAAACAUGAUUAUUUUGCUUAAAAAUCUCUGCAACAACAGUUGCAGAAAGGUUAAAAUCAACAACACGCUAUCUGAGUCUUUAAGUCCACAGUGAGGUGUAAGAGGGCUGAAUUGUGUCACCGAUACUCUUCUAUGUACAGGGCGAGUCAUUUAUAUUGCACGAAUAUUUAAGGGCAAAAGGUUAAAAUAUUGGAAAAAUUCCUAUAAACCUAUGUCCGAAAAUGCGUCGCUGUAGAGAUACUGAGCGUUGAAAUUUUAAUCAUAAUCAUUUUCUUUAUUCAAUUUAAUUCUUAUAAAAUCAAAGGUUUUUUUACAAAAGAAGGGAAAAGUGAUUAACAUGACGUAAUACACAAACUAGGAGUAGAGGUUAUAAAAGUUGUUAAAAGUGUUGCCCUUUAACUUCAAUGCAAGCAACUACCGUACGAACCACUGAUUGCCGCACUGCUGUGUUUCGAAUUGUUGCGCAAUUUGCCACUAUCUUAUUUCUAAACUCUUCAACAUUUUCAAUUGGGGUAGUAUAAACUAAUUGUUUUAGGUAACCCCCAGAGGAAAAAGUCUAAUGAGUUUAAGUCGGGAGAUCUCGGAGACCACGUUUGUGGAGCUCAUCUCGCUUGUGUUUUACGUCAUGUUACUGACUUUUCUCUUUUCUAAAAACUUUUGAUUUUAUAAGAAUUAAAUUGAAUAAUUGUUAUUUUCAUGGUUGUAUUUAAAAACUCAAAAUGUAAAACGUGGCGCUCUCUAUUAGUGACAUUAAAACUAUCAACAAAAUUUAGCACCUUACAAAACCUUCCUAUACCUAAUUGCACAGAUGUAUCUGUGCCUAAUUGUAUAUUGCUAUUCUCGUUUACUUUCCACUUAUUUAGAAAAAUUGAAAACUAAAUUAAAAUUUCAACGUAUAUCUGUGUCUAUCGUUGCCCAGGGAAGCAUUUUCGGACAUAUUAUGUUUAUAUUGGAAGUUUUUUUAAUAUUUUGACCCAAGGAAUACACCCUUAAACUUUCGUGCAAUAUUAAUGACUCACCCUGUAUAUGAAGAGUAAAUAAUGAGAAAAGUUCUGCCAGACUGGCGAGGGGGAUUAACCGUAGGUGGAAAAGAAUUAUUUAUCUCAGAUAUGCAAAUGACACCUUAAUACUAGCUCGUUCCAAGGAAUUUAUAGGAAUCAUGAGAAUGAGAAGGUCGAUAAUUUUAAAAUGAUUGAGAAAUUUGAUUAUUUGGGAUCACUUAUCACAAACAAAGCCAACAAACUGAAGUUAUUAAACCUAUUGAUCUCUCUUAUUGCCAAAAUGAGACCUAGACUUUAAAAAUGGCCAAUCGAAUAGAUGCUUUUGAAAUGUGGGCCUACAGAACAAUGCUGCGAAUAUCAUAUAGAGAACAUCGACCAGGUUAUCAACCAAUCAUAUCUACGGUAUUUUGGACACAUUUCAAGAAGAACGAAUGGGCUGAAACUGCUUAUUGUGGAGUAGAAAAAUCAAUAGUAAACGAUGAAGAGGAAGGUCUUCGACUCUAGGUGGAUCAAAUCGAAGAAAUCAUUGAUCACAGCCUGCAGGAAGCUUCUCUUCAAGCCUGAGAACUACGAUCCGAGCAAGUGAAACAUGAUUUCAACAUACUCUCUCGAAAGUAAAAGGUUAAGAGAGGGAGUGACUAUUAAAUAUAAAGGGGAUACUAGUGAAUUUUAACUAACAAGUCACAAUUAUUAAACUAAUUAUAAGUUUUAAGUAACAUAAUUGUAUCUUCUAUAAUAAAUGCAUAAAACCUGCCAUAAAAUCACACCUCAAUAAACAACCGACAUUUAUCACAUCUAAGGCUGAUUUUGUUUUUAAUUUUUAUGGAUUUACAGGUAUGCGACGCCUAUAAAAUUAUUUGAACCUACAAAAGGAAUAAACAAUCAUAUUUAAUA